AAACUUCAAAUUAAUACCCUCCACGUGGUUUCGCACUUUCUCACUUUAGUAUCCAGUGGUUUAAUAUUUCAUUAGAUUAUGUACAAAAAACUUCAGAUAUCCUAUCUAGAUUUAUCGAAUAUUCAUUUUAGUACUCUUUAGUUUUAACUUUGUCACUAAUUUAAUAAAAAAAAAAUCCAAAAUGAAUAAUAAAAAGAGAAAAAUAAAACUACAUGAUACUAACUUGAUACAAAAAUAAAAUCACAAAGUACUCACUUGAUACACCUUAAACCACAGGAUACUAAAGUGAGAAAGUGCGAAAUCAUAUGAUAUUAAUUUGAUACACUUUAAACCAUAUGAUAUUAAAAUAAAAAAGUGCGAAACCACAUAGGGUGUUUUUGAAGUUUUUCCCAAGGAUAUAUG
RNAcentral lists this long non-coding RNA (402 nucleotides) under Ananas comosus (pineapple). RNAcentral's name for it is "long non-coding RNA (ACOM_LNC027228)". The record is from RNAcentral. Lineage: Eukaryota; Viridiplantae; Streptophyta; Magnoliopsida; Poales; Bromeliaceae.